This 491-nucleotide ribosomal RNA is filed under the name uncultured bacterium. Its description in RNAcentral is "bacterial SSU rRNA". It matches the Rfam family "Bacterial small subunit ribosomal RNA", at positions 29 to 509 of the family's 1533-position model. The record is from RNAcentral.
AGUGAACGCUGGCGGCAGGCCUAAUACAUGCAAGUCGAACGGCAGCACAGCAGAGCUUGCUCUGUGGGUGGCGAGUGGCGGACGGGUGAGGAAUACAUGGGAAUCUGCCCAGUCGUGGGGGAUAACGUAUGGAAACGUACGCUAAUACCGCAUGCGCCCUUCGGGGAAAGCCGGGGACCUUCGGGCCUGGCGCGAUUGGAUGAGCCCAUGUCGGAUUAGCUAGUUGGCGGGGUAAAGGCCCACCAAGGCGACGAUCCGUAGCUGGUCUGAGAGGAUGAUCAGCCACACUGGGACUGAGACACGGCCCAGACUCCUACGGGAGGCAGCAGUAGGGAAUAUUGGACAAUGGGCGCAAGCCUGAUCCAGCCAUGCCGCGUGAGUGAAGAAGGCCCUCGGGUUGUAAAGCUCUUUUGUCCGGAAAGAAAAGCAUUCGGUUAAUACCCGAGUGUUCUGACGGUACCGGAAGAAUAAGCACCGGCUAACUUCGUGCC